RNAcentral lists this ribosomal RNA (465 nucleotides) under uncultured bacterium. RNAcentral's name for it is "bacterial SSU rRNA". It matches the Rfam family "Bacterial small subunit ribosomal RNA", at positions 926 to 1391 of the family's 1533-position model. The record is from RNAcentral.
CAAGCGGUGGAGCAUGUGGUUUAAUUCGAUGCAACGCGAAGAACCUUACCUGGUCUUGACAUCCACAGAAUCUUGCAGAGAUGCGAGAGUGCCUUCGGGAACUGUGAGACAGGUGCUGCAUGGCUGUCGUCAGCUCGUGUUGUGAAAUGUUGGGUUAAGUCCCGCAACGAGCGCAACCCUUAUCCUUUGUUGCCAUUGGUUCGGCCGGGAACUCAAAGGAGACUGCCGUUGAUAAAGCGGAGGAAGGUGGGGGCGACGUCAAGUCAUCAUGGCCCUUACGACCAGGGCUACACACGUGCUACAAUGGCGUAUACAAAGGGAGGCGACCUCGCGAGAGCAAGCGGACCUCAUAAAGUACGUCUAAGUCCGGAUUGGAGUCUGCAACUCGACUCCAUGAAGUCGGAAUCGCUAGUAAUCGUGAAUCAGAAUGUCACGGUGAAUACGUUCCCGGGCCUUGUACACACC